Non-coding RNA from Solanum lycopersicum (tomato), 426 nucleotides. The record is from RefSeq and is a predicted model, not a curated record. Lineage: Eukaryota; Viridiplantae; Streptophyta; Magnoliopsida; Solanales; Solanaceae.
AAAUAAUUCAUAUGAAAAUAUAAUUCGUCAUGUUAAGAUAUAAAAUUUGAGAGAGAUACGCAGUACGUGUUGUGUUGGAAAAAUCAAAGAUGAAGAUGAACUUCUAAAGGAAAUAAUAUCACAUGUUGAUUCAAAUGUGAUCGAUGGUGGAAGUAGAAGCGGAGUUGUAAAACAUUAAUUAAUGAGUCAUGUAAUAUUUAGAAAUUUAGAUUUGUUAAGUGUUUAGGUUGUCUUGUGUUGCUGGAUAUCUUUUAAACCAGCUAGUUUUUUGUGGAAAAAAUGAUGUAAUGAUCAACAUUUAUCCGCUAAAUCUUACGUUGGCUAUUAUGUAUUUUUGUAAGUAUUCACCAAAGUUUGUGAUUCAUAAAUGUAUUUUUGUAAGUAUCCAUCCGAAGUGUGUGAUUUGUAAAUGAAUUUUUAUAUGAA